Salvator merianae (Argentine black and white tegu) is the source of this 370-nucleotide long non-coding RNA. The record is from Ensembl. Lineage: Eukaryota; Metazoa; Chordata; Lepidosauria; Squamata; Teiidae.
CUGCCUCCCCGGCUGCCUCCUCCCUCCCUUCCCCCCCCGCCGGGGCCGGGCCUUUAAUCCGCUCUGCCUUUGUGUCUGCCCGGCGCUGCUGCUGCUGCUGCUGCUGCUGCUGCUCUUCUUGCCCGGCCGCGAUGGAGCCUCUUUGGGGGUCCCCGCUGGCGAUGUGACGUCCAGCGUCCCCCAAAGCGAAGUCGCCGCUUCAGGGGCAGGGGCAGAAAAAUAUCAUGAUGAGAAUUGUAGAAGAACAGAUGGUUCCUCAAAUGCAGUAUCGCACCUGUUCAGGCAGCACUUUUUGCCCCAAAGUGCAUAAUGGAAGCUGCCUGUGAUAGAAACCGGAACCAAAAGCUUUGGUCUCAAUAGUCGCGGAGCU